RNAcentral lists this long non-coding RNA (467 nucleotides) under Equus asinus (donkey). RNAcentral describes it as "lncRNA (ENSEASG00005026560.1)". The record is from RNAcentral. Lineage: Eukaryota; Metazoa; Chordata; Mammalia; Perissodactyla; Equidae.
GUAGUUGUAUGCCCAGGCCUAUGCUCCAAGGAGGACAAUAUUUAAGAAGUCGGAGAAAGAGAAAAGCCCAAAAAAGAGGCAGAAGAACAGCCUGAGAGACAGAGCAAGUUUUUGUUGCAACAGACACAGAAGAGUAAAAAUAUCACCAACUGCUACAAGAAGAAGAGUAAGAGGAAGAAAAUCACAGAGAACUCUAAAAAAAGAGCUGAAAGCGCCCUAACUGACAGAGACAUGCGAUAGUUUUUCAGAAGAAGAUGGAACAGGGCAUUUCUACAGAGACAACAGGUAAAAAGUUCAGAGGUGGAAUGAACUUAGAAGCUGAUGGCGGGGACCAAAGGAAAUUAUUCUUGGAAGAAACAGUCCAUCUUCAUGAAUGACCCUUCACCCACAAAAUGUUCUUCUUUUUGAGUUGCCUUUAAUUGCUUUUGUCCCUCCUCAUACUCUCACAGAAAUUCUGUGAGGUUCUG